Long non-coding RNA from Tetranychus urticae (two-spotted spider mite), 554 nucleotides. RefSeq lists it as uncharacterized. The record is from RefSeq and is a predicted model, not a curated record. NCBI's taxonomy places the organism in Eukaryota, Metazoa, Arthropoda, Arachnida, Trombidiformes, Tetranychidae.
UGAAUGAAAAAUGUCUCUUUUCGAUUUACCUUAAAUACUGUAAAUUUGACACACACAAAAGGAAGCCCAAGAGGAGAUUUCCUGUGACGAAGCAAGCCAAAAAAAAGUCAACUUACACACUCACUACAUCCCACUAGAUGUAUGUAAUAAAUGCAUCUAUUUACAGGAUCCUCAGGUUCAAGAUUAAAACGGAUGGAAGAGUGAACAAAAAACAUUUCUUGCUUUCAUAUUCGUAAUCUGGUUUCCAUUCUGGUAUUCCCGUAAGCCUGAUGAGAUCGGAAAUGUGUGGAUUAGAAUGCUAAACCUGAAAGUAAAUGAUUAUCAGGAUGUACAAGAGUGUUAAGUCAUGGAGAUGAAACUGCUAUUCUGUUUCCUGAAAUCCUGAAAUUUCAUCUAUCAAAAGUGGACACCAGAUAUUUGUUAAAACACAACAUUUUCCUGCAGAUUGAUUAACUUAUUGUGGAUGGAAUGGAAAAAAAAUAUGUCUUUUUUUUCCAUUGUUUGGUUUGUGACCCUUUCUCAAUAACCAAAUUGAAUCAAGGCAACAUUAUUAA